This 44-nucleotide small nuclear RNA is filed under the name Fukomys damarensis (Damara mole-rat). Lineage: Eukaryota; Metazoa; Chordata; Mammalia; Rodentia; Bathyergidae. The record is from RNAcentral.
GUGUCAUGUGAAAGGAGAGAAGGUUAGCGCUCCUCUUGAAAAGA